RNAcentral lists this long non-coding RNA (2690 nucleotides) under Homo sapiens (human). RNAcentral's name for it is "HSALNT0260277". The record is from RNAcentral. Lineage: Eukaryota; Metazoa; Chordata; Mammalia; Primates; Hominidae.
CACCAGAAGCCGAAUUGCUGCAUCUUGUGUGUAUCUUGGAAACCUUUCCCGGUGCACAGACAGAAGGAUACCUCAUUCAUUGCCACAGCUGCACAGUAUCCAUGAUGUGGAUCAUGGCUCAUGACCCAGUUCCCUACGGAUAAACGUCAAGGUCGUUCCUGGUCUGUGGCCAUCACCAACACUGCCGCGACUAGUCUAGAAUGGGUGCCAUUUCAUGCAUUUGCAAUUCCCAGAAGUACACUGGUUAGUCAGCAGGUGAGUGCAUUGGUGAGAGGAUGUGACUCCAAUCUCAGGAAAUAUGGAAACCUUCUUCCCUUUCUAGCUGCAGCACCCCUAGUCUGGACAGCAUAUGGAAAGCACCCAUGAUCAUUUGAAAAUCACAAAAUAACUCUAAAUUUCUGCACAAGUAGGUCAUCUACCACUUGUCAUUCUAAUCCCACACUAGGCACUUUAAGAACAUGCACCCCUGGGCUUUUGCUACACUCUUUUCUUAUGCUGGUACCCACCUUGUGGUGACUGAGGGUUCUCUUAAUAUCCCCAAGUCUGAGGAAACUGAGGCACAAUUCGAUUAUCCACUUAUGAAGUGGUGAAUCUGUGGAUUAAACUUAUAAGACAUAUCCACUUCACACUCCAGAAAACUUCAUCAUUCCCAACAUUAUUGUCUUCCACCAUUGGGAAAGAAAUAUUUUCCUUGGUAAUUAGAGGAGAAAAGGUGUUUGGUGUUUCAUUGUCACUUUCCUGGUGUGGAAAGUAUCUACUUGCGGGUCUUUCCUAGGGCCAGCGAGUCCUAACAUGUUUGAACAUCUACCCAUGCUAUUUAAGGCAGCACACCAAACACAUUCCUGCUUCGACUGCAGUAUCUGUUUCAUCAAGAAGAGUAUUUUCCUUAAAUAAGUUUGAGGUGCCUACUACUUGGGGAAAUACUAAGCCUUUGGUAUGCUUCUGCUCAUCUAGGCAUGAGACGGCUCCAUCAUUACUUUGGUCUUCAGUUUUCUGAAUCUGCUUCUGGAAAACACUGCAAAAUGUCAUUUUUGAGAACUGCUGCUUUGCAAAUACUUUUCAUGCCUAUGUGAUGUGCUGUUAUUCUCUCUCAUUUCCUUGCUAACGUACAGUCAUGCAUAUGAAGCAAGUUAUGAGCCAGUUAAGACUGGAUCUGAGUCAACUAGAUUUGCAUGCAUUUUCAGCCACAGUACAGGUUCCUAAAAGUCAUCACAUGUCUAGUCUCAAAGUACUUAUAGAAUAGCAUCUGAUUAUUAUUAAGUAGAUUUUUUAAGGCCUCUCAAGGAUAAAGAUUUGAGGUGUUAUAUCCAUUGCUUUCCUCCCUCACACUGUUUUUGACUUUUAAUUCUUCCCUUUCUCCACUUUAAUUUCUAGUCUCCCACUGCUAAUUCUCCAUAUGACCCAUCCCCACCACCACCAUCCUCAACAGCCACCAGUGAGAAUUCUUACUACCUGAACUUCACUGUGACAAAAAUCAGCCUUGGACCUGUGGGCUAAAUUGUUCCAAAAGUCCUGAUGAAGUUCUCAGAUUCAGGCAAAGCUAGGUCUCCUGAUACCCUGUCUCAGUCAGUUUUGCAUUGCUAUAAAGGAAUACCUGAGUGAGGCUGGAUAAUUUAUAAAGAAAAGAGGUUUAUUUGGCUCACAGUUCUGCAGGCUAUACAAGAAGCAUUGCACCAGCAUAUGCUUCUGGUGAGGCCUCAGGGAGCUUCCACUCAUGGUGGAAUGGGAAGUGGAGCUGCUGUGUGCACAGAUGACAUGGUGAGAGAAGAAGCAAGAGAAAGAGGAGAGGAAGGUGCCAGGCUCUUUCUAACAAUCAGCUCUUGCAGGACUGAAAAGAGAACGCACUCAUUACCAUGAGGGCAGCACCAAGCCAUUCGUGAGGGAUCCGCCCCCAUGACCCAAACACCCCCCUGUAAAUCCUCAUCUCCAACAUUGGGGAUCAAAUUUCAACGUGGGGUUUGCAUUUUCCUGCAAACUCAUGUGCUGUGCACUCCCUCAUGUCAUCUAUGAAUGAUCACCUGCCCCAGGACUUCCUUGAAGGAAUAGCUCAAAUUAUUUUCUAAGAGUUCUGGGGGUAAAAAAGCAAAAAAACUAACUCUACUGACACCCUUCUUUGUCUCCCAGUGUUUAUGGAGCGUAACCAGUGUUCAUAGCCCUCUGCCAGGCAUCGCAGAUACAGAGGUCAAGGAGAUAGACAUAGCCCUGCCCCUGUGGAACUUGUAAUAUAGUUGGGGAGACAUAUGAAACCAUUGCUCAUGUAAAGGUCUGAUUGCCAAUUAUUACACAGGCUAGCAAGGGAAAGAACAGAGUCGAUGACAGAACGGCUCUGGGCACCUAACUUAAUUCAGGUCUUAUAAGGCCAAGGAGUGGGCCUCACUACAGAAAUGGUGUGGAAGGUGAAAUCAGGAAGCAGUUGAAGUCCAGCUUCUGAAAUGUUAGAACACAGACUCAUCAUACAACACAGCAAUUCUAUUCUUUGAUGUCUACCCCCCCCAAUAAAAAUGAAAACAUAUGUCCACCCAGAAACUUGUACAUGCAUGUUCACAGCAGCUCUAUUGAUAAUAAAAGGAGGAAAUGACAAGAAACUACCAAAAGAGAACAAUGUGAAGGACUGGGUGGAAGCUGGUUCUUCAGUGAAAUCUCACAAAUUCCAGUGUUUCUAGUACUUCUUACCAACACUUACAUGUAUU